This 188-nucleotide transfer-messenger RNA is filed under the name Actinomycetota bacterium. Its description in RNAcentral is "Actinobacteria bacterium partial transfer-messenger RNA". It matches the Rfam family "transfer-messenger RNA", at positions 181 to 374 of the family's 374-position model. From Rfam's summary of the family: Bacterial tmRNA, also known as 10Sa RNA or SsrA, is named for its dual tRNA and mRNA-like properties. Its role is to liberate the mRNA from a stalled ribosome. Lineage: Bacteria; Bacillati; Actinomycetota. The record is from RNAcentral.
UGGCGUCGCUAGAGAGCUCUUCAUCGAGAUAGCGUUGCGAAUAUCUCGAGAGAACAGUUUCGCAAAUGAGUUCGUUGAAUACUUGUGUGUAAGAGAUUCAGGACUGAGAAAACGAUAAACGCACUACGCCCGUAGAAGCCCUGUUUUAAUUCUGAAGGACCCGGGUUCGAUUCCCGGCACCUCCACAA